GACGGAGACAGAAAUCUAGAGAAGCAGAGAGCAGAGUGACGGAGACAGAAAUCUAGAGAAGCAGAGAGCAGAGUGACGGAGACAGAAAUCUAGAGAAGCAGAGAGCAGAGUGACGGAGACAGAAAUCUAGAGAAGCAGAGAGCAGAGUGACGGAGACAGAAAUCUAGAGAAGCAGAGAGCAGAGUGACGGAGAGACAGAGAGACUGACCUGUUUGCAGAGACUGUGAAUCAGACAAGGAUUUCAGACCAAAAGCAGAAAAGGCCACAGAGACCCAGCACACAGGGCCGGACAAUGAUGGUGUCAGAGAGAAAGACCAAGUGAAACAACGAGGAAAAGGAGGAGCAGACACUGCAGGAUAGAAAGAUGGAAACAGCUCGAGAGGGCUGCAGUAGAGAGGCAGAGAGGUGGGAAUGGCUUCCGUCAGCCUGUCCCUGCCCAGCUCAGGGGCAGCUGGCUCUGGACCCUCUCCAGAGGCUGGUGUCACCUGGGCUCCUGGUGGCCCCCAGGCCUCAGCACCCCUGGGGCAUCCACACACCGAGGGAGGGGGGGAUGAUGGGCCAGUUCCCAUCCUUCUUCCCUGUCACGGCCCAGAUGUCUGGCUGAGUUGAGUGGGCAGCCCAGGACCUGGUCCCCAUGGACAGGCUGGGCCCUGGGCCGCAUCUUCUGGGUCAGUCCCCACCAACAAGCAGAGCAAAUUGCAGGAAAGUCACGAGGACUUCUAGGGGUCCAGCCCAUUUCCAGAAGAAGAAGUAAAGAAGCCAGUUUCUCAGAGGCAAUGAGGAAAAAUGCUGGUCUCUCUGGGUCCCCAUGGGGGCAUCACAAAGGGACCAGCUGGCCCAGUUGGUCUGGGCUCUGGUUGGAACUACGGUGGGGUCCUGACACCCUCAGAGAGUCAUACACUCAGCCUCUCAGCUGCAGACCGAGCCGGCCUUACCCUGGAGCUGGGAUCACAUAACUGCUCAGCCGCCCUCUGCCUGCUGGUGCCCAAGAGUGCCAGGCACAGGAGCUGGCCUGGGAGAUGGCCCCAGGGGCUGCACUGGUAUCUGCCGGCACUGGGAAGAGAGCUCUGUUUUCUGAGUAGCAGGUGGCCGACUGUGCCGGGGAGCCUGUUCUCCCACAUUUUCCCCAGUUCCGGACGGGGGACCACAAAUCCAGGACACGUCUGCUCCUGGUGCGGCCGGCCUGCCUGCCUUUCGUGGGGAGUUACAAGGGAAGUGAGGAUAUUUCUGUGAUCUCGAUCCCAGUUUUAAGGCAUAAUUUGAGUGGUCACAAAGAUGGGGUGACAGGGAAUAGCCACAAGAACUCUCCUCCCACCCCGACAACCCCCGGCCUCUCUUCGAAGCUGCACCCUAGCUUCCAGGGCAAGGCUGAAUCAGGAGCCCCAGCCCUCUUUCCGUGCAAGACUGACUGGCUGAGCUGGGCGUCCGUGGGACCCUACGUAGCGAACAUGACACCCAGGGAGGAGCCUGCAGUUCGCCAUGGGCUGGAGAAGCAGCGGAGGCAGAGGCACCUGGGAACUGCCACCUGGAUCCAAACGCAUGGCCGGCCCAUGCCCUCGCAUUAUGAAGGCCAAUGCUGGGAGCAUCGUCUUUGGUGAUCACCUGCCCUGAAGCGAUUCACAAGGGUUCCACACUCACUGGCCUUAUCUGCACCUCCACCCCAAGACCAGAGGUGCCCAAGCUUCUCUCUCCACUUCUGCUGGUGUACAGAAUAUAAAUUUUCAGGAGUCUGCCAAGCUCCAGAGAAAUGAAUCUCCCCUAGUCGUCACUUUUCUCAUACACAAAUGGAGCCUCUGGACUUUGCAGUCUUGAAGAUGAGGAAACAGAGGCCAAGGGAGGGGGCUGUCUGAAGUUAUGCAGUGGAACCUGGAACCCAGGCCUGGGGCUGCCUGGCGCUGCUGUUGACGUCACAGGCCCAGGAGCAUGGACGGGGUCCCCCGCCCUGCUGUGCAGAAGCACGGCACCAGGCUCUCCGAGGGGCCUUCAUGAUGUAGACAAGGACGACAUGCUGAGCUCAAGGUGAUCCCGGGACAGGUCCAGCAGAGUGACCCUGACCUCUCUCUCCACCUGAUGGCGUGUGUCCUCUGCAGGACAUUGACCCUGCCAGGGCCAGGCUGGCCUAUCUUCAGGGAGGGAUGGGACAGGCGCUCAGACUGGAAGGAAAGCCCCUGUCCUUCCUUUUCUUCUCCUCUGGACAACCCUCUCUCUGUGUCUUAUCCUUGUAUUAUAUAACACGACACGGUGGCUCCAGCCCAGGACAGAAGGGAGGGGUUUGUCUUCCAAGAGGCGGCCACCUCAUCCCUGGACUUGUGUCUGAGGGCAGGAGUUUGCCCUGGGUUCUGGAACCAGGUGCUGGGUGCUUGAUCAGCAGCCCUGGAGUGACUUCUUGGCAGGUGGUCAGUUUGGGACAGGAAGGACAGACCCUCAGAGCAGGGACGGGCCUGUCUCACAUCCUCCUCGGAUGGCCAAGGUGCUGGUUAUCUUUCCAGGACUGCUGAGAGGACCGGUGGGUCGCUGGGACCAGGCCGUGUACCUCCCCAGUCUCUGAGUCUAAGGAAAACCUCAGAGCUGGGGCGAGAAGGCGUUCUGGAGGCUGGGCCCCCAGUUGCAGAGCUUGGGGUCGGCUUGCCCUGGGAGGAGCAUGGGCAAGGGCAGAGGCCGGGGCAUCAGGAGAUUGUGGUUCCAGGCCUGGCAUUGCCCACUCCACCACUGAGAAGGACAGCCACUUCCCCACUAGGCCUCAAUUUUCUAGCUGCAGACAAAAGAGGUUGGCCCAGCUAUCCUGUAAGGCCUCGUUCAUCUUAAAGUCUCUGCAGUACAUUAACCCCAUCUGGGACUCUA
Macaca mulatta (Rhesus monkey) is the source of this 2841-nucleotide non-coding RNA. The record is from RefSeq and is a predicted model, not a curated record. Lineage: Eukaryota; Metazoa; Chordata; Mammalia; Primates; Cercopithecidae.